CCUACGGGUGGCAGCAGUGGGGAAUAUUGGACAAUGGGGGGAACCCUGAUCCAGCCAUGCCGCGUGUGUGAAGAAGGCCCUCGGGUUGUAAAGCACUUUCAGUGAGGAAGAACGCCUGGUGGUUAAUACCCAUCAGGAAAGACAUCACUCACAGAAGAAGCACCGGCUAACUCCGUGCCAGCAGCCGCGGUAAUACGGAGGGUGCGAGCGUUAAUCGGAAUUACUGGGCGUAAAGCGCGCGUAGGUGGCUUGAUAAGCCGGUUGUGAAAGCCCCGGGCUCAACCUGGGAACGGCAUCUGGAACUGUCAAGCUAGAGUGCAGGAGAGGAAGGUAGAAUUCCCGGUGUAGCGGUGAAAUGCGUAGAGAUCGGGAGGAAUACCAGUGGCGAAGGCGGCCUUCUGGACUGACACUGACACUGAGGUGCGAAAGCGUGGGUAGCAAACAGGAUUAGAUACCCCAGUAGUC
This 465-nucleotide ribosomal RNA is filed under the name Vreelandella stevensii. RNAcentral's name for it is "partial 16S ribosomal RNA". It matches the Rfam family "Bacterial small subunit ribosomal RNA", at positions 338 to 795 of the family's 1533-position model. Lineage: Bacteria; Pseudomonadati; Pseudomonadota; Gammaproteobacteria; Oceanospirillales; Halomonadaceae. The record is from RNAcentral.